RNAcentral lists this non-coding RNA (50 nucleotides) under Trichobilharzia regenti. Lineage: Eukaryota; Metazoa; Platyhelminthes; Trematoda; Strigeidida; Schistosomatidae. The record is from RNAcentral.
GUACUGCUGAAGAGUCCCAAACUAAGACGAAACGUUUGGCUGUCCAGUAC